GAUGAAGAACGUAGCGAAAUGCGAUAAGUAAUGUGAAUUUCAGAAUUCAGUGAAUCAUCGAAUCUUUGAACGCACAUUGCGCCCGCCAGUAUUCUGGCGGGCAUGCCUGUUCGAGCGUCAUUUCAACCAUCAAGCCCCCGGCUUGUGUUGGGGACCUGCGGCUGCCGCAGGCCCUGAAAAGCAGUGGCGGGCUCGCUGUCACACCGAGCGUAGUAGCAUACAUCUCGCUCUGGGCGUGCUGCGGGUUCCGGCCGUUAAACCACCUUCAUAACCCAAGGUUGACCUCGGAUCAGGUAGGAAGACCCGCUGAACUUAAGCAUAUCAAUAAGCGGAGGA
RNAcentral lists this unclassified non-coding RNA (336 nucleotides) under soil metagenome. RNAcentral's name for it is "partial contains 5.8S ribosomal RNA, internal transcribed spacer 2, and large subunit ribosomal RNA". The stretch from base 1 to 120 matches the Rfam family "5.8S ribosomal RNA", at positions 35 to 154 of the family's 154-position model. The record is from RNAcentral.